This 600-nucleotide ribosomal RNA is filed under the name uncultured bacterium. Its description in RNAcentral is "bacterial SSU rRNA". It matches the Rfam family "Bacterial small subunit ribosomal RNA", at positions 82 to 678 of the family's 1533-position model. The record is from RNAcentral.
GCUACCUGAUUCAGCGGCGGACGGGUGAGUAAUGCCUAGGAAUCUGCCCGAUAGUGGGGGACAACGUUUCGAAAGGAACGCUAAUACCGCAUACGUCCCACGGGAGAAAGUGGGGGAUCUUCGGACCUCACGCUAUCGGAUGAGCCUAGGUCGGAUUAGCUAGUUGGUGAGGUAAUGGCUCACCAAGGCGGCGAUCCGUAACUGGUCUGAGAGGAUGAUCAGUCACACUGGAACUGAGACACGGUCCAGACUCCUACGGGAGGCAGCAGUGGGGAAUAUUGGACAAUGGGCGAAAGCCUGAUCCAGCCAUGCCGCGUGUGUGAAGAAGGUCUUCGGAUUGUAAAGCACUUUAAGUUGGGAGGAAGGGCAGUAAGCUAAUACCUUGCUGUUUUGACGUUACCAACAGAAUAAGCACCGGCUAACUUCGUGCCAGCAGCCGCGGUAAUACGAAGGGUGCAAGCGUUAAUCGGAAUUACUGGGCGUAAAGCGCGCGUAGGUGGUUCAGCAAGUUGGAUGUGAAAUCCCCGGGCUCAACCUGGGAACUGCAUCCAAAACUACUGAGCUAGAGUACGGUAGAGGGUGGUGGAAUUUCCUGUGUAG